This 2308-nucleotide ribosomal RNA is filed under the name Dorea longicatena. RNAcentral's name for it is "partial 23S ribosomal RNA". It matches the Rfam family "Bacterial large subunit ribosomal RNA", at positions 595 to 2925 of the family's 2925-position model. Lineage: Bacteria; Bacillati; Bacillota; Clostridia; Lachnospirales; Lachnospiraceae. The record is from RNAcentral.
AACCGCGUACUUUUUGUAGAACGGUCCGGCGAGUUGCGCUGGCUGGCGAGGUUAAGCACCAAAGGUGUGGAGCCGAAGGGAAACCAAGUCUUAAUAGGGCGAAUGAGUCAGUCGGAGCAGACCCGAAACCGGGUGAUCUAUCCAUGUCCAGGUUGAAGUUGCCGUAAAAGGCAAUGGAGGACCGAACCCACAUCCGUUGAAAAGGGUGGGGAUGAGGUGUGGAUAGGGGAGAAAUUCCAAUCGAACCCGGAGAUAGCUGGUUCUCCUCGAAAUAGCUUUAGGGCUAGCCUCAUAUAAGUCUUGCGGAGGUAGAGCACUGAAUUUCCUAGGGGGCGUCAAAGCUUACCGAAGAAUAUCAAACUCCGAAUGCCGUGUAGAUGUUGUAUGGGAGUCAGACUGUACGAGAUAAGUUGGACAGUCAAAAGGGAAAGAGCCCAGACCUGCAGCUAAGGCCCCAAAAUGUGUGUUAAGUGGAAAAGGAUGUGGGAUUUCAAAGACAACUAGGAUGUUGGCUUAGAAGCAGCCAUACAUUCAAAGAGUGCGUAAUAGCUCACUAGUCGAGAGGUCCUGCGCCGAAAAUGUCCGGGGCUGAAACACACUGCCGAAGCUCAGGAAUGUACCUAGUACAUUGGUAGAGGAGCAUUGUAUACGGGACGAAGCAGUACCGAUAAGGAGCUGUGGACUGUAUAGAAGAGAGAAUGCCGGAAUGAGUAGCGAGAGGAAGGUGAGAAUCCUUCCGGCCGAAUAUCUAAGGUUUCCAGAGUAAAGCUGAUCUGCUCUGGGUAAGUCGGGGCCUAAGGCCAGGUCGAAAGACGUAACCGAUGGACAACAGGUUGAAAUUCCUGUACCUUAAGUAAACAGAACUGUGGGGACACGUGUGGAGAGCACAAGCCGGAAAUGGAAAAGCCGGUGCAAGCGAGGUAGGAGAUGAAUAGGCAAAUCCGUUCAUCAAUCCGAAGACGUGAUGCGGACCGAAUUAAGAGUAGGGAAGUGUGUGAGCCAUGCGUCAAGAAAAGCCGCUAUUGUUUUACUUAAGCCCGUACCGUAAACCGACACAGGUGGAUGAGGAGAGAAUCCUAAGGCCGACGGGAGAAGCAUUGUUAAGGAACUCGGCAAAAUGACUCCGUAACUUCGGGAGAAGGAGUGCCAGCGAGAGCUGGCCGCAGAGAAUUGGCCCAAGCAACUGUUUAGCAAAAACACAGGUCUAUGCAAAACCGUAAGGUGAAGUAUAUGGGCUGACGCCUGCCCGGUGCUGGAAGGUUAAGAGGAGAGGUUAGCGGUAACGCGAAGCUUUGAAUUUAAGCCCCAGUAAACGGCGGCCGUAACUAUAACGGUCCUAAGGUAGCGAAAUUCCUUGUCGGGUAAGUUCCGACCCGCACGAAAGGCGUAAUGAUUUGGGCACUGUCUCAACAAUGCACCCGGUGAAAUUGAAAUACCAGUGAAGAUGCUGGUUACCUGCGCCAGGACGGAAAGACCCCAUGGAGCUUUACUCCAGCUUGAUACUGGGAUUCGGUAUUGCAUGUACAGGAUAGGUGGGAGGCUAGGAAGUGAUGACGCCAGUUGUCACGGAGCCGCUGUUGGGAUACCACCCUUGCAGUAUUGGAUUUCUAACCAGCGACCAUGAACUGGUCGGGGGACAAUGUCAGGUGGGGAGUUUGACUGGGGCGGUCGCCUCCGAAAGGGUAUCGGAGGCGCUCAAAGGUUCCCUCAGAAUGGACGGAAACCAUUCGAAGAGUGCAAAGGCAGAAGGGAGCUUGACUGCGACACCGACGGGUGGAGCAGGUACGAAAGUAGGACUUAGUGAUCCGGUGGUAUAAAGUGGGAUUGCCAUCGCUCAACGGAUAAAAGCUACCCUGGGGAUAACAGGCUUAUCACUCCCAAGAGUUCACAUCGACGGAGUGGUUUGGCACCUCGAUGUCGGCUCAUCGCAUCCUGGGGCUGAAGUAGGUCCCAAGGGUUGGGCUGUUCGCCCAUUAAAGCGGUACGCGAGCUGGGUUCAGAACGUCGUGAGACAGUUCGGUCCCUAUCCGGCGUGGGCGUAGGAUAUUUGAGAGGAGCUGUCCUUAGUACGAGAGGACCGGGAUGGACUGGCCGCUGGUGUAUCUGUUGCAUACCAAGUGCAUGGCAGAGUAGCCAAGCCGGGACGGGAUAAACGCUGAAGGCAUCUAAGCGUGAAGCCCCCCUCAAGAUGAGAUAUCCCUACGUAAGUAGUAAGACCCCUUGAAGACGACGAGGUAGAUAGGUCAGAGGUGGAAGUACAGUAAUGUAUGGAGCUGACUGAUACUAAUCGGUCGAGGGCAUGACCAAG